This 447-nucleotide ribosomal RNA is filed under the name uncultured bacterium. RNAcentral describes it as "partial 16S ribosomal RNA". It matches the Rfam family "Bacterial small subunit ribosomal RNA", at positions 29 to 523 of the family's 1533-position model. The record is from RNAcentral.
AGCGAACGCUGGCGGCAGGCUUAACACAUGCAAGUCGAACGCCCCGCAAGGGGAGUGGCAGACGGGUGAGUAACACGUGGGAACGUGCCCUUUGGUUCGGAAUAACUUGGGGAAACUCAAGCUAAUACCGGACAAGCCCUUAUGGGGAAAGGUUUACUGCCGAAGGAUCGGCCCGCGUCUGAUUAGCUAGUUGGUGAGGUAAUGGCUCACCAAGGCGACGAUCAGUAGCUGGUCUGAGAGGAUGAUCAGCCACACUGGGACUGAGACACGGCCCAGACUCCUACGGGAGGCAGCAGUGGGGAAUAUUGGACAAUGGGGGCAACCUUGAUCCAGCCAUGCCGCGUGAGUGAUGAAGGCCUUAGGGUUGUAAAGCUCUUUUACCCGGGACGAUAAUGACUGUACCGGGAGAAUAAGCCCCGGCUAACUUCGUGCCAGCCGCCGCCGUAA